Long non-coding RNA from Oxyura jamaicensis (ruddy duck), 2146 nucleotides. RefSeq lists it as uncharacterized. The record is from RefSeq and is a predicted model, not a curated record. The transcript has 5 exons. NCBI's taxonomy places the organism in Eukaryota, Metazoa, Chordata, Aves, Anseriformes, Anatidae.
AGUACUUUGGAAUGGGUGUCUGUAGUUCGCCAGGAGAUAAGGCAAAGCAGAGAUGAGAACAAAUACGACAAUAAGAGCAACCAGAACAGUGGCUUCAUCAGGCAAUAGGUCUGACUUCAUGGGAAUGAGCAUGAUUUUGAGGAGAGAAAUGUGCUCUAUCUCGUCUUGCUGAUUUGACUGGUCCAGCCAAAUUUCAUGGAAGCAGUAUCUUUAAACGGUCUCCAGAUACCCUGCUGGAUCAUUGUAGCUCUAUUAUUUCAGCAGAGCUAUGUAAUUCUGCCUCAUCAGAGCACUGGUCCUCUUCAUUUAUGCUUGUCUUUAAAAGAGGAAAUCCUUAUCUAACGUAUUUGGUUGUGUAGCACUCAUGACAUUAUUAGGAGCAGGUGAAGCAUCUCCACCCUUCUCUCAUCCCCCCAAAUUGAAUCUGAAUUUUCUGGUUCAUAGUUUGUACAGAUUGUAAUGCUAAUGUUCUUUUUCUAACUUGAUUUGUGUCACUAUCACAGUUGUGAAUCAGUCGUGGAGCCCCAGUAACAGUUAAUAACAUAAAUUAUGUACUUGGACUAAAAAUAACAAGGUGAUAUACUGUCACCUAUCACACUUUCUUUCUGUAUGAACCAAAAUACAUUAACAGUGAAUAGCAUCCUCCUAUGGAACUCCAAGAAGUUAUAUAAAAUUAGUUUUGUUGGCACGUCGCAGUAAGAACCAGGAUCACAACAACCUAUUUGAUGGCACAGCAGACACAGUAGAAAAGUUCAAUAUUCUGCCUCAGAACCUGCUGUCAUUUCCCUGAGAUAAGGUAACAUCUGUGGCUUGAAAAAAAAGCAAACAACAACAACAAAAAAAACCACCAACAUUUCAAUCUUCUUCUGGCUCACAUCAGUAAGUCCUGAAAACCUCCAGAAGUUAGCAGUAAUGUCUACUACAGCUCCUCAUUCUCUUACAAGAUGCAAGAGGGCUCCUGGCUGAAGAGCUCAAUGGGAUGCAAGAAGGUGGGGACAACCACCUGCUGACCGCUUCUCCACAGGCAUGGUGAUGAGGAAGAAAGCUAACUGUGAACUUUGCUCUGAGUGUGGAUUCACUGUUAGUCACACAGGAUGUACGCUGGGGCAAGGCAGUAAGGUGAAAGGCUGCCAUGCAGUGACUCAGGGGAUAAGCAUGUAACUAAAAGCUUGCUGCUUCUCAGCUAUGGUCAGCAUCACUCCCACCAGGAAUUCCUUCUAGCAGCUCUACCAGGCUGUGAAAGAAAAAUAUUGCAGAAAGGUUCUCUUCCACAGCUUUCCCUCUCAACUGAUCAGCAAUCCCCUUGCAUAAAUGUGUCAGUUUCACGGAGGGCCUUCUGCAAUCUCUCUCCUUCUUGAUCUUUUCAGGAGUGCUGUUUUCUAUUUUUUGUUGAAAUUUUAAUGAAGGGUGAAUUAAUACAGAAUGUAAUGUUUUUAAAUUACACGUCAUAUUAGAAUUUCUGCUGGUACAAUUACAUUUUAAUUAAGUAAAAAACUGGACAUAGAAGUAGCUCUCCAUGUCUCCAAGCUAGGUUUACUUCUGUGACAUUUAAUAAAGGUCCAAUGUAUCCAGAAUUAAGAAGACUUGUGUUCUGCAGCAAGAUCUGGGGAGUUGAUGCUGCUCUGCCUGAAAUGCUACACCACUUUCAGCUUAAUUAAAAUCUGGAUCCUUUUAUUAACAAGCUAUGACAAUUGCAAAUGUAGAGGACAAACCAGAAUGUAGUUCUUUUUCAGCUGUCUUCUCUCUGCAUGUUCUGCUGUCUGUGUGGCUAAUGCAGGUCAUCCAAAACGUAUUCCUUCCUCACAGACCCCUGCAUCACCACUGCCUAAACUGUGCCGCUUCCCUUCCGAUACCUGGAAAUGGGCAUUGCAAAAGGGCUCCAGUGACCUGGAUUUAUGGAUCGUCACAGCUGCUGAGAUGGGGUGUUGUGAUUUUAGCCACCAUCCUUGAAACCACUUUUCAUGGAAGUUCACAGUUGAAGUUGACCUGGCUGAAGGACAGAGCGUGCUCUUAGCAAACUUGCUGAUGACACAAAACCGGGAGGAGUAGCUGAUCCACCAGAGGGCCGUGCUGCCAUUCAGAGAGACCUGGACAGGCCGGAGAGCUGGGCAGAGAGGAACCUCACGGCGUUCAACAAAGGCAAGUG